This 253-nucleotide ribosomal RNA is filed under the name uncultured bacterium. RNAcentral's name for it is "partial 16S ribosomal RNA". It matches the Rfam family "Bacterial small subunit ribosomal RNA", at positions 524 to 776 of the family's 1533-position model. The record is from RNAcentral.
UACGAGGGGGGCGAGCGUUGUUCGGAAUUAUUGGGCGUAAAGGGUGCGUAGGCGGUUCCGCAAGUCCUGUGUGAAAUCUUCGGGCUCAACUCGAAGUCUGCACGGGAAACUGCGGGGCUUGAGUGUGGGAGAGGUGAGCGGAAUUUCCGGUGUAGCGGUGAAAUGCGUAGAUAUCGGAAGGAACACCAGUGGCGAAAGCGGCUUCCUGGUCCGACACCGACGUUCAGGCACGAAAGCGUGGGGAGCAAACAGG